GACGAACGCUGGCGGCGUGCCUAAUACAUGCAAGUAGGACGCAGUUGCGAACGGGUGAGUAACGCGUAGGUAACUACCUAUUAGAGGGGGAUAACUAUUGGAAACGACUGCUAAUACCGCAUACUGAAGGAGGGGAUUGCGUCUGAUUAGCUAGUAGGUAGGGUAAUGGCCUACCUAGGCAACGAUCCAUAGCCGACCUGAGAGGGUGAUCGGCCACACUGGGACUGAGACACGGCCCAGACUCCUACGGGAGGCAGCAGUAGGGAAUCUUCGGCAAUGGGGGGAACCCUGACCGAGCAACGCCGCGUGAGUGAAGAAGGUUUUCGGAUCGUAAAGCUCUGUUGUUAAGGAAGCGGUACUUAACCAGAAAGGGACGGCUAACUACGUGCCAGCCGCCGCGGUAAUAC
Molecule: ribosomal RNA, 407 nt
Filed under: uncultured bacterium
Lineage: Bacteria
Description: partial 16S ribosomal RNA
Rfam family: Bacterial small subunit ribosomal RNA
Source: RNAcentral